Serinus canaria (Common canary) is the source of this 746-nucleotide long non-coding RNA. RefSeq lists it as uncharacterized. The record is from RefSeq and is a predicted model, not a curated record. The transcript is spliced from 4 exons. Lineage: Eukaryota; Metazoa; Chordata; Aves; Passeriformes; Fringillidae.
CUCACACAGACACAGAAACAACGAGGAAACAAAGACACAGAAAAUCCCAUUUUUUACUGCAAAAACUCCAGGACCAAGAAUUGGAGGAAAAAAGAAGGAACAAACAAUUCCACCAGGGAUCGUUCUCAGCUUAUCAACAACAAGAGCUGCCAAAACACCAGGAAUGAUCCCAGUCCAAAACACCAGGAAUGAUCCCAGUCCCACCAUCCCAUGCUCAGCGAUGGAGAAAACAUGGGAAGCAGUCCCUAACACCUGGAGCUGAUCCAGGUAAGAAAAUUCCAUCUAAAAUAGUCCCAAUUCCCACAGGAAAUAGGAGAAAAGGAAAGGCCCAGUUUCAUCCUGAUCCGGAGACGCAGCUUUAUCUUCCCUCCAUCCCACGGGAACGGCCAAGAGAUGGAGUCGUUCCUGAAUGUUUGGGCUCAGCUCCAGAUUCCCAUGGAGUUCAGAUCCCGGGGCAAAGGAUCUUUGCUCCUUCCAGGGCGGACAUUCUGAUCCACCUCAGGGCAGUGGGUUUGGAUUAAGGAUUGAAAACAUCACUGAACAGCAAGCAGGGACCAUGGAUUGGGAUUUCACCAAGGCUCCUGAUCUUUGGGAUCAAAACUUGGGACCAGUUGGAAAAGUCCAAGUUCAAAGGAGUUUGGGAGCAGGGAUUUGUAAAUGCACCCAGAGAAUAUUUUUUUUCUUGGAAGUUUCCAGUCAAUCCCAAAGGAACGAGGACUUGGAAACCCAGGAGAAAGGCAGAGGAG